Molecule: ribosomal RNA, 529 nt
Filed under: uncultured bacterium
Lineage: Bacteria
Description: bacterial SSU rRNA
Rfam family: Bacterial small subunit ribosomal RNA
Source: RNAcentral
UAGUCCACGCCGUAAACGAUGAUAACUAGCCGUUGGGGGGAUUUACCCUUUAGUGGCGAAGCUAACGCGUUAAGUUAUCCGCCUGGGGAGUACGGCCGCAAGGUUAAAACUCAAAGGAAUUGACGGGGACCCGCACAAGCGGUGGAGCAUGUGGUUUAAUUCGAUGCAACGCGAAGAACCUUACCUGGUCUUGACAUCCUGCGAACUUUCUAGAAAUAGAUUGGUGCCUUCGGGAACGCAGUGACAGGUGCUGCAUGGCUGUCGUCAGCUCGUGUCGUGAGAUGUUGGGUUAAGUCCCGUAACGAGCGCAACCCCUAUCCUUAUUUGCCAGCACAUUAUGGUGGGAACUAUAAGGAGACUGCCGGUGAUAAACCGGAGGAAGGCGGGGACGACGUCAAGUCAUCAUGGCCCUUACGACCAGGGCUACACACGUGCUACAAUGGGAAGGACAAAGAGCCGCGAAGCCGCGAGGUGUAGCUAAUCUCAUAAACCUUUUCGUAGUCCGGAUUGGAGUCUGCAACUCGACUCC